This is a regulatory RNA element of Caenorhabditis elegans, 46 nucleotides long. It matches the Rfam family "Histone 3' UTR stem-loop". From Rfam's summary of the family: The mRNAs of metazoan histone genes lack a poly-A tail. 3' end processing occurs at a site between a highly conserved stem-loop (modelled by this family) and a purine rich region around 20 nts downstream (the histone downstream element, or HDE). The stem-loop is bound by a 31 kDa stem-loop binding protein (SLBP - also termed the histone hairpin binding protein, or HBP). NCBI's taxonomy places the organism in Eukaryota, Metazoa, Nematoda, Chromadorea, Rhabditida, Rhabditidae. The record is from Rfam.
CCAACGGCCCUCUUUAGGGCCACAAAUUCAUAAGUCCAGAUCUUGU